Molecule: non-coding RNA, 362 nt
Filed under: Pongo abelii (Sumatran orangutan)
Lineage: Eukaryota; Metazoa; Chordata; Mammalia; Primates; Hominidae
Source: RNAcentral
GAACACAAAAUGGCGACACGUGGUUAGCAUUCGUCGCCAACGAGAAAUUGGGGUCGGCCCGAAAGCUCUAGAAUGCACCCCUAUUCCUCCCCGGGGCCAUUCCCGCUCAACGAGUUUUAUGACCUAAAAAACCCCACAGGCUGGUCUGAAGGUCGGAGGCCUAAUUUUAACGCGUUUUCCUCCCUUUAAUUUGAAACGGGAACGCGAAUAACUAAAAUAUUUGGUAGCAUGGGCUGUUGUGCUGGAGAGAACGAGAGCUACGAAGAGACUAGAAUGCCUCUGACUUUUUCAUAGGACAGUUGGCCGAGGAAGACACUUAAAGAUGAAGUGCUUAAUUCAAGGUCACAGAAUGUCGGGGAUGG